Molecule: long non-coding RNA, 519 nt
Organism: Rana temporaria (common frog)
Lineage: Eukaryota; Metazoa; Chordata; Amphibia; Anura; Ranidae
Exons: 5
Source: RefSeq, a predicted model, not a curated record
CUAUUUAAACGGUGUCUUGCUGCACACGUUGUGCAGAACGCCGUGGGUCAUAUGUUCAGUGAGCACUCGCAUCCUUAGUGCUUUGCAGUUCCUCUUUUGGACCAAGCAGCUGAUUCCUUCUGGCUUUAUACACACUAAGCUUACUGUGAUUUUGCAACACUGCCUGCGAUCCUUAUAUAGAUCUUAUGCAGAUACUCUGUGAAAUCUACAUGAGUCAUUUCUUGAAUUAACACUGCAGCCGGAUUGCUCAUUGAUGUCCCUGGUCUUUAACCCCUUAAAUCGUUAUUUAUACUUCUCCUGCUCCUUUGCAGGAUCAAGCACAUGACCAUUUUUCACCUCGGCGGUUUUCUGUGUUUGUCGCUAGCUGUGGGCAACUCGUGGUUGGAUAUCGCUCCCUCCCCUGAAGAAGCGUAAGUCCGCAAAACAUGUAGGGUCCAUGCGAUUUCCUUUUCCAGUUGCAUCCAUAUUUUCAACUGACUGAUGCUUUGUUAUCCACUGAAUCAAAUCAACAAACUGGUU